Dalotia coriaria is the source of this 449-nucleotide long non-coding RNA. RefSeq lists it as uncharacterized. The transcript has 2 exons. The record is from RefSeq and is a predicted model, not a curated record. Lineage: Eukaryota; Metazoa; Arthropoda; Insecta; Coleoptera; Staphylinidae.
AACACAUUUUAAAGUUUAUUAUCUUAAAAUUUUUAAAUACAGAGAUGAAGUCAUCUACAAUCGUAUUUUCUUUGGCGACCAUUGUGUUACUUUCAGUAAUAACUGAUGUAGCAAUGGGACAGAGUACAUUGGAUCCAAAAUGUAAAGCGUUGUGUAUUCGUUCAGACGCGGCAAAUCCAAAAGUUUUUACGCUGACAAUGUGCUGUUCAGCUUGCUUGAUUGCUGUCAAUGAAUUUUUCCUUUCGAUUUGUGGUCCUUAUUAUUAUUAGCUGCAUGCCGCUCAAGAUAAUGUGUUUGCAUUAAAAAUAAUAAUAAAGGACGUUCUUGCAAUUAUAAUGUAACUAGCGACCCGCCCCGGCUUCGCACGGUUGCAAUACUGAUACUAAAUACACUACAGAAAAACUGUGAACGUGUGGUAUAAAAUAUAUAGCCCAUGUAAUUAAAAUCGA